AUUGAACGCUGGCGGCAGGCCUAACACAUGCAAGUCGAGCGAGCGGCGGACGGGUGAGUAAUGUAUGGGGAUCUGCCCGAGAGAGGGGGAUAACUACUGGAAACGGUAGCUAAUACCGAAUACCAACAGAUGAACCCAUAUGGGAUUAGCUUGUGGGUGAGGUAACGGCUCACCUAGGCGACGAUGCCUAGCUGGUCUGAGAGGAUGAUCAGCCACGCUGUGACGGAGACACGGCCCAGACUCCUACGGGAGGAAGCAGUGGGGAAUAUUGCACAAUGGGCGCAAGCCUGAUGCAGCCAUGCCGCGUGUAUGAAGAAGGCCUUCGGGUUGUAAAGUACUUUCAGUCGGGAGGCGUUACCGACAGAAGAAGCACCGGCUAACUCCGUGCCAACAGCCGCGGUAAUAC
This 406-nucleotide ribosomal RNA is filed under the name uncultured bacterium. RNAcentral describes it as "partial 16S ribosomal RNA". It matches the Rfam family "Bacterial small subunit ribosomal RNA", at positions 30 to 526 of the family's 1533-position model. The record is from RNAcentral.